AAGAGGGGAGUGUGUUAGCUUGUGCCUUGUCUGAGAGCUAAGUCAGGGAAAAUUGGUAAUUGUGAUGACCAUGAUGAUGGAUUCAGUGGCCCUUCCCUAGACUUUACUGCUAGAGCUGACCAGUAUGGGGUAGGGAGAACAUGUGCACAGUCAGGACAGCAUAGCGCUGUGGUGCCCUUGGAGGAGACAUUUUAAGAAAAUAGAAAACCAAAAAUCUUGACAUUGCUAGACAUCUCUAUGUCACUGUAUGUCUCUGAGUUUCAGCGGAUGGGCAUAGUGGCUUGCUCCUAGAGUGGGAGGUAACAGAUGCACCCCGGGACUGGACACAAACUCUGAAGAUUUUGAAGAAGUCCAGACAUGUGCUGAAUCUGGAGCUUCCUGUCCAGUGUGAUGUGAAGAGAAGUGUAGUCAAGUUGGAAGGCUACAAGAAGUAAAUCCCAAACCGAUAAGAAGACCAGCGUUCACUUACGGCAGAGGUUUGGCUUUCUCCACGAGACACAGACUCCGGCUGCGUUGCACGCCUCGGCAUACAUUGCCACAGCAGUACAGAAGCCAAGCUGUUUGCAAAUUCCAGUGCUCCAGCAGCUACUGAAGAGUGCCUGGUUGUGAAGUCAUCCUUAAGAUCGCCAUUGUUAUUUCC
Molecule: small RNA, 640 nt
Filed under: Rattus norvegicus (Norway rat)
Lineage: Eukaryota; Metazoa; Chordata; Mammalia; Rodentia; Muridae
Description: uncharacterized LOC108351530
Source: RNAcentral